RNAcentral lists this transfer RNA (74 nucleotides) under Marmota monax (woodchuck). Its description in RNAcentral is "tRNA.Asp". The record is from RNAcentral. Lineage: Eukaryota; Metazoa; Chordata; Mammalia; Rodentia; Sciuridae.
UUAGGGGUGUAGCUCAGAGGUAGAGUGUUUGCCUAUCAUGUGUAAUGGCCUGGGUUCAAUCCCCAAUCCUGAAA